This 546-nucleotide ribosomal RNA is filed under the name uncultured bacterium. Its description in RNAcentral is "bacterial SSU rRNA". It matches the Rfam family "Bacterial small subunit ribosomal RNA", at positions 777 to 1336 of the family's 1533-position model. The record is from RNAcentral.
AAUAGAUACCCCGGUAGUCCACGCCGUAAACUAUGGAUGCUAGCUGUUGGCCGUAUCGACCCGGUCAGUAGCGAAGCUAACGCGUUAAGCAUCCCGCCUGUGGAGUACGAGCGCAAGCUUAAAACAUAAAGGAAUUGACGGGGACCCGCACAAGCGGUGGAGCGUGUUGUUUAAUUCGAUGAUAAGCGAAGAACCUUACCCAGGCUUGACAUCCUUGGAAGGCCUCCGAAAGGAGACUGUGCCUUUUAGGAACCAAGUGACAGGUGUUGCAUGGCCGUCGUCAGCUCGUGUCGUGAGAUGUUUGGUUAAGUCCAUCAACGAGCGCAACCCUUAUAGUUAGUUGAAUUUUUCUAGCUAGACUGCCCUGGCAACAGGGAGGAAGGGGGGAUGAUGUCAGGUCAGUAUUACCCUUACGUCUGGGGCUACAAACACGCUACAAUGGCCGGUACAAAGGGCAGCCAACCCGCGAGGGGGAGCUAAUCCCAUCAAAGCCGGUCUCAGUUCGGAUUGUAGGCUGAAACUCGCCUGCAUGAAGCCGGAAUCGCU